GAUGAAGAACGCAGCGAAAUGCGAUAAGUAGUGUGAAUUGCAGAAUUCAGUGAAUCAUCGAAUCUUUGAACGCACAUUGCGCCCCUUGGUAUUCCAUGGGGCAUGCCUGUUCGAGCGUCAUCUACACCCUCAAGCUCUGCUUGGUGUUGGGCGUCUGUCCCGCCUUUGCGCGUGGACUCGCCCCAAAUUCAUUGGCAGCGGUCCUUGCCUCCUCUCGCGCAGCACAUUUGUGCUUCUCGAGGUGCGCGGGCCGCGUCCACGAAGCAACUAUUACCGUCUUUGACCUCGGAUCAGGUAGGGAUACCCGCUGAACUUAAGCAUAUCAAUAAGCGGAGGA
This 337-nucleotide unclassified non-coding RNA is filed under the name soil metagenome. Its description in RNAcentral is "partial contains 5.8S ribosomal RNA, internal transcribed spacer 2, and large subunit ribosomal RNA". The stretch from base 1 to 120 matches the Rfam family "5.8S ribosomal RNA", at positions 35 to 154 of the family's 154-position model. The record is from RNAcentral.